CCGGCCGGCCCCCGGGCUGCUGCGGUGUGGUGAGGCGAGGGCGGGACGGGAGGCAGGCGGGCAGGCGGGUCGCAGCGGCCCGGUCAGCGCGAAGGGUGCCCGGCAGCCGCGCUUUUUAAAGCCGGCGUGCGCCGUGCGGCUUUUACUUGCUCCCCUGCGCACGGUAGGGUCCCGCCGGCUCCCUGGCCGCUCGGUCUAGCGGUCGCGGCCAUCCCCCCGGUGUGGUGAGGCGGUGGCCGGGCCUGUCCCGCCUCCGGUCUGCGUGCACAGCCCGUCUUCUCCUCCUGGGACUAGGAUCUCUGGCUUUGUCGAUCCCUCAUUCUUGCCUGUAAGCGUACCUGCAACCAGCAGCGCUUCCUUAGAGAAGCCUUCGCUGUUCAACAGCGGUUUAACCGAGUAGCGGUUACUGCCGACGUAUGCGUGCGUGCCGUCAGAGUGUUCCCAUCUUUAUUUAAGGGUGCUUAUCCCUCAUUUUGACCCAGUUUAGCUCCGGUUCCCAACGCUCAGAGUUUGUUAGUCUACCUUGCUUUUUCGUACCUGUAGUAUGUUGCCAGCAUGAGGAAAAAAAAGAGUUCUGCCGUUUCCAAGGACCAAAUAACAUCUGUUGAGAACUAGGUCACAAGAAAGGUCAGAAAAUUGAAUUUAAACCAUCGUCAGGCAAACCGGAAACAAAACUCCACUUCCUUAGUCAAAUAAAAUCCUUUAGGCCCAGCUCACUGGUCACAUAAUCUGGGUGCGCUGGCAAAGCCCUCCCCUUGGUUCUCUGUUUCUCAAUACAAACAACUUCGUGCUAUGUGGUUGACUAAUACCUGUAAUUCAGCAUCAGGAAAGGAUGGAAAAUGAGCCUAAUUAAUCCCUGGUAAUAUUUGCUGUGUAACAGGUGCAGAAUCUGACCUGGACUUUAGGUUGCCAACAGAUGCUGUUAAGGCACUGUUCAUGGUGUCUUCUGAAGCCAGAAGGGGAAAGGAGUCCACUCAGGAGCCCAACCAGAACUCUGAAAGUAAGGGGAAGGACUGAAAUCAAGAUGCCAGAGACACAUAUAUGGAAAGGGGUGAAGUGAGACCUUAUCUGGAGAGAGGAUCAUGUGGAGAAUGGAGGAAGAAAGAAAGUUUGGAGGUGUCAGAAGCUGCAAAGGUGCUCAGAUACGUCAGGGUGUAUGAGAAAGAGAAUAAAGGGGGAGAAAUGGAGAAAGGCAGGUGGUAUGGCAGGCUCAUGGGCUGUACAAUGGAGUAGGAAAAACAGGAGUGACAAGAGGAGCGGUUGCCAUGAAUAGCAGAGAAGCAAAUGUGAGAGAGCUGGAAUGGUCACCUGAAAAGCUGAAGACCUACAGAUGGCUUGCAGGCACAUGAAGACACAGGGAAUGGAGAGAGCAUGAGCAGCUGCAGAUUAGCAGGAUCAGGGGCUCCUGUGAGCUAGGAGAUCGAAGGUCUGAGCAGGUUUUCAGUGCUUUAUCCUUUGUUUACAUAGCAUUGUGGAAGGGAGAGGAGGCAGUGCUCGCUGCUUGGGAUGAGAGGACAGUCUUCCCGACAGUCCGGGAGCAUCUGCCUAGCAGCCCAGUCACAGUGAUCACUGCGUAGAUGAGGCAGUUUCUCCAAAAAAGCCACAGAAAGGUCUGAAAAUCUACAGACCCAAGAAAAACUAAAACUGAUAGUUGGAGCUGUAUAGUUGGAGGGAGGGUAAGGUACUUCUAGCAUAGGAGCUUGGAAAUAGUAUUCUUAUUUGCAUGCAGAUGACCAAGUGUGCGUACUCCUUAUUUAAUGAACUUAUUUCAAGUAAUAGACCUAGCAAUCAAAACAAAGUGGUUAAGAGUUAGGAUGGUUGGUUGAGUCACUGAGUAUGCUUAUGACCUCAGAGCUAAGAAUAAUCUGAGCUGUGGGCAUGAUCCUAAUUACCACCCUACUAUUAGAUAUGCAGUUAUGUAUACUUAUGAGCUAAAUUUUGGAACACAGACUGUUCCUCCGUUUUCAGUGAAGUCUAACUCCUAUAUAUAAAUAUAUUACUAAGUUGUGACAAAAUGAAAAAUAAGCGAAUUCUUCAGUGAAUAAAAUAUAUCUUAAAAUAUUUUCCCUGAAAAAAGUAAGAAAAAACCCCAGUCAUGUUUCAUCUAAAACAAAGAUUAUUGGCAAACCUGAGCAAAAAUUAGUCUUGCUGUGAAACAGUACAAAUAGCAGCAGAAGGUUAACAAUGGUGGCAUCUCCUUAAUGACUCAAAAAUCUUAAAGGCAGUAAGGCAGAAAGGAAACUUUUUACUAAGAACCCUGGAUUCAAGAUAUCCUGUUUGCCUACAGACAUUUUAUACCUUAUACACGGGAUGACUGCUUUCUAGAAGAACAUUUGGUAGGAAAGGGGGUCAUCCUGCAGGGCUGUCAUAAGGGCUGGUGAGGCUCUAGUUGCAACAUCUGCCCAUUCCUUAUGCCACCCACAUGAACAAGUCUAACAUGCUGGACUUCCUGCUGAUGUUCAGAGAUAUCCACGUUGCGUGUACAGUGAAUUCAGUCUCCUGGAGAGGUAGAAUCCCCACAUAUCUGCAGUAGGUUCAGGGCAUCUGACAUUGAGCGUCAUGUGGCUUGGCGGUAUAAUUGCAUGACUGCUAAAUCUAGUGCAAGACGGGCAACAGGAGCCAGGGUGAGAUGGCAAGCAGGCCUCCCUUUUCAGUCACAGCUUGCUGUGAGAUCAGUUUCACCGUAAUAUGAAACUGCACCAUGAGUCAGGAGCUUCUGAGCGCUCAUCAUGGCUCUGAUCUCAACAACAUUGGUGGCUGCAAGCAGCUUUUUUAACUGCAAGGUUGGUGUCUGUCAAGUAUGAAUAGUAGCAGCUAGGUACUUGAGAGCACUGUAAGGUUCAAUUAGAUAAUGUUUACCAAGUAUUAAUUAAGUAUUUUAAUUUUCAAAGUGCGGAUUAAAAAUGCCUGAAUGUUGAGUCAUCAUUCUAGUUGUACACUGUCACAUGUCCCAAAGGUUUAUUCAUCCAAUAAACAUCAGGGCAGAGGUUUAUUUAUCCAGAAAUCAAGACAGCACAGCAUGUGGCCCCAGUGUCUUACCGAAACCUGUUAUCAUGAUGCAAUUAUUUAUUUUUGAGGAGAGAAGCUUUGAUUUGAAAGAAUUGUUUUGUCUCCUGCAGAUACAAUCUGUCGUGAUUCAGUUUUGCCUAUAUAAUAUAUAUAUAUUUGCUGUGUCAAGGAGCGACAUCUGACUGAAUGUGACUUUAUUACUAAUUCUGUAUUAGUUUUCCUCUGUUGUAAGAGAAAGACAUUGCAGAGAUUGCAUUUGGUAUUCAGAAAACCUGUUUAGUAAUUGCCUUGAAAACAAGGGGCAUGCCUAGCUUCAACCAAGUUACUGACUAUUAAUUACUGUGAUUAAAGGCUGCAGUCCAGCAAUGGUGGGGGAUCUAGGUAGCUCCUCAGCAUUCAUGUGGCAAUAAUCUGCCUGGGUAUUAGGUUGAGACACUAAAAAGUUUAAGGAGACUCAGGCCUCUGUUGGGAUUAAAAGACAUGCAGUAUGGACUGCAGGGCCAGAAAGUUGAUGUCUUAAAAGGCAGGCACAUCCACAUGAGAUAAACUGAUAGACCAUAUCUGCCACUGGAAAUUUUCAGGAAUACGAAGCAUCUCUGUGGUUCAGCAUGGGUCAGAUUUAGUUUGGCUGAAAUACUGUGUAUUUCAAAAUAGACUCAGGCCUCUCUGCUACAUACAUCUGCCUCCUUUACUGAGUAAGUACUCUGUUGCGGUAAGGGGUUCAGCUGGUCCACUGUCAUGAGUGUAUUUUGUAUUUUGUCCUUUUACUCAAAAGCAUAACUGGCAAAUCUUUGUACAAUGUGUUUCUCUCAGGUCUCCAUUACAUGAAUAAACAAAAUUGCUUGUUACCAAA
Aquila chrysaetos chrysaetos is the source of this 3862-nucleotide long non-coding RNA. RefSeq lists it as uncharacterized. Lineage: Eukaryota; Metazoa; Chordata; Aves; Accipitriformes; Accipitridae. The record is from RefSeq and is a predicted model, not a curated record. The transcript has 2 exons.